UACGUAGGGUGCAAGCGUUAAUCGGAAUUACUGGGCGUAAAGCGUGCGCAGGCGGUUAUGCAGGACAGAUGUGAAAUCCCCGGGCUCAACCUGGGAACUGCAUUUGUGACUGCAUGGCUAGAGUACGGUAGAGGGGGAUGGAAUUCCGCGUGUAGCAGUGAAAUGCGUAGAUAUGCGGAGGAACACCGAUGGCGAAGGCAAUCCCCUGGACCUGUACUGACGCUCACGCACGAAAGCGUGGGGAGCAAACAGG
RNAcentral lists this ribosomal RNA (253 nucleotides) under uncultured bacterium. Its description in RNAcentral is "partial 16S ribosomal RNA". It matches the Rfam family "Bacterial small subunit ribosomal RNA", at positions 524 to 776 of the family's 1533-position model. The record is from RNAcentral.